Molecule: microRNA, 23 nt
Filed under: Danio rerio (zebrafish)
Lineage: Eukaryota; Metazoa; Chordata; Actinopteri; Cypriniformes; Danionidae
Description: Dre-Mir-17-P4d_3p* (star (passenger))
Source: RNAcentral
ACUGUAGGAGCAGCACUUCACAA